AGUGGCGAACGGGUGAGUAAUAUAUCGGAACGUACCCUAGAGUGGGGGAUAACGUAGCGAAAGUUACGCUAAUACGCAUACGAUCUAAGGAUGAAAGUGGGGGAUCGCAAGACCUCAUGCUCGUGGAGCGGCCGAUAUCUGAUUAGCUAGUUGGUAGGGUAAAAGCCUACCAAGGCAUCGAUCAGUAGCUGGUCUGAGAGGACGACCAGCCACACUGGAACUGAGACACGGUCCAGACUCCUACGGGAGGCAGCAGUGGGGAAUUUUGGACAAUGGGCGAAAGCCUGAUCCAGCAAUGCCGCGUGAGUGAAGAAGGCCUUCGGGUUGUAAAGCUCUUUUGUCAGGGAAGAAACGGUGAGAGCUAAUAUCUCUUGCUAAUGACGGUACCUGAAGAAUAAGCACCGGCUAACUACGUGCCAGCAGCCGCGGUAAUACGUAGGGUGCAAGCGUUAAUCGGAAUUACUGGGCGUAAAGCGUGCGCAGGCGGUUUUGUAAGUCUGAUGUGAAAUCCCCGGGCUCAACCUGGGAAUUGCAUUGGAGACUGCAAGGCUAGAAUCUGGCAGAGGGGGGUAGAAUUCCACGUGUAGCAGUGAAAUGCGUAGAUAUGUGGAGGAACACCGAUGGCGAAGGCAGCCCCCUGGGUCAAGAUCGACGCUCAUGCACGAAAGCGUGUGGAGCAAACAGGAUUAGAUACCCUGGUAGUCCACGCCCUAAACGAUGUCUACUAGUUGU
RNAcentral lists this ribosomal RNA (732 nucleotides) under uncultured bacterium. RNAcentral describes it as "bacterial SSU rRNA". It matches the Rfam family "Bacterial small subunit ribosomal RNA", at positions 94 to 823 of the family's 1533-position model. The record is from RNAcentral.